RNAcentral lists this ribosomal RNA (644 nucleotides) under bacterium SL1.5. RNAcentral's name for it is "bacterial SSU rRNA". It matches the Rfam family "Bacterial small subunit ribosomal RNA", at positions 56 to 712 of the family's 1533-position model. The record is from RNAcentral.
UGCAGUCGAACGAUGAAGCCGGAGCUUGCUCUGGUGGAUUAGUGGCGAACGGGUGAGUAACACGUGAGUAACCUGCCCUUGACUCUGGGAUAAGCGUUGGAAACGACGUCUAAUACCGGAUACGAGCUGGGACCGCAUGGUCACCAGCUGGAAAGAACUUCGGUCAAGGAUGGACUCGCGGCCUAUCAGUUAGUUGGUGAGGUAACGGCUCACCAAGACGACGACGGGUAGCCGGCCUGAGAGGGUGACCGGCCACACUGGGACUGAGACACGGCCCAGACUCCUACGGGAGGCAGCAGUGGGGAAUAUUGCACAAUGGGCGCAAGCCUGAUGCAGCAACGCCGCGUGAGGGACGACGGCCUUCGGGUUGUAAACCUCUUUUAGCAGGGAAGAAGCGCAAGUGACGGUACCUGCAGAAAAAGCACCGGCUAACUACGUGCCAGCAGCCGCGGUAAUACGUAGGGUGCAAGCGUUGUCCGGAAUUAUUGGGCGUAAAGAGCUCGUAGGCGGUUUGUCGCGUCUGCUGUGAAAACCCGAGGCUCAACCUCGGGCCUGCAGUGGGUACGGGCAGACUAGAGUGCGGUAGGGGAGAUUGGAAUUCCUGGUGUAGCGGUGGAAUGCGCAGAUAUCAGGAGGAACACCGA